AACUUUACUGCCCACAGCUCUGCGCAGAGGCAAGGGCUGGUGAGAGCGGAUCCACCCAGGAAGUCUCUGUAACGGGAACCCCAUCUCUGACUAAAUGCAAUUCACAGAGGUCUUCUGGGUCAAGGGAGAGCUAUCUUUCCUCAAAAUCCUCAGAUGACUUGAAUGUAUGAAGAUGACCUGGCAAUUCAUCCUUGCUCACUGUUCCCGUGCUCCUACUAGUGAAAGCACUUAGGUGUUUGAAAUCACACCAAAGAAGCUCUUUCUGAGUUGGGAAAAAUUGGUAACAGUAUAACACCUGGUGAAUAUUAUCAUCAUUAUUAUUGGAACCCACUUUUUCUCCUAUAUCUAUUUUGCUCAUUUCCAUGGAGCUAAAGACAUUGUGAAUGAUAAAGUAGACUGGAAACCUGACCAGCGUGGCCCCUUCAGACUAUACAGGAAAUGAGGUUAUCAGAAAUUCCUUUUAAUAAUGCAAAAGCAGAAAUGUUGAAACAAAGGUUUUGAUGAAUUAUAUUUUUAAGGCCAGACUGGUUCUCUGUGUUCAAAUAUAAGCAUGAAUUAGUUCCUUCACCAACAUAUUUGUACUGUUAUAUACACCAGUUUAUGUCUCCUCAUAGUAUAUGGUCCAUUAAAACUAAGAAACAUGACAGUGAAACUACUGAUUUUUGACCAUUUACCAUAGCAACUCAUCAUGAAAAAGAACACAUUGUAGCACUAAAUCAGACAAAUAUUGCAUCAUGGAGACAAUAAGGUUAUUAAGAAGAUUUUUUCUCUAACUUUUAAAUAUUAGGAUGUUGUACUAUGAGUGAUUUUGAUGUAGAAGUUAGAGAAGCAAAUUCAAUUUAUCAGGAAAAUUGCCCUCAUAUUUUAAAGCAAGAAAUGGAUUAAACAAAGAGAUGUUUCAGAAAAAAUGUGAUCUCCUAAAAACAGCACUAUAUAGUCUUGUCUUUUUCCACCUUGACAAUCUACUUUCUGUCCUUUUUGUAUUCAUAAGAUCAAAAAAGUGGCAAUAAAUUGUUGCUUUUCCUA
Long non-coding RNA from Gorilla gorilla gorilla (western lowland gorilla), 1026 nucleotides. RefSeq lists it as uncharacterized. Lineage: Eukaryota; Metazoa; Chordata; Mammalia; Primates; Hominidae. The transcript is spliced from 2 exons. The record is from RefSeq and is a predicted model, not a curated record.